Molecule: ribosomal RNA, 406 nt
Filed under: uncultured bacterium
Lineage: Bacteria
Description: partial 16S ribosomal RNA
Rfam family: Bacterial small subunit ribosomal RNA
Source: RNAcentral
AUUGAACGCUGGCGGCAGGCUUAACACAUGCAAGUCGAGCGAGCCGCGGACGGGAGUGUAAUGUCUGGGAAACCCCCUGAUGGAGGGGGAAAACCACUGGAAACGGUCGCUAACACCGUAAUCCCUCAGAUGUGCCCAGAUGGGAAUAGCUAGUAGGUGGGGUAAUGGCUCCCCUAGGCGACGAUCCCUCGCUGGUCUGAGAGGAUGACCAGCCACACUGGGACGGAGACGCGGGCCAGACUCCUACGGGAGGCAGCAGUGGGGAAUAUUGCACAAUGGGCGCAAGCCUGAUGCAGCCAUGCCGCGUGUGUGAAGAAGGCCUUAGGGUUGUAAAGCACUUUCAGCGAGGAGGCGUUACUGGCAGAAGAAGCACCGGCUAACUCCGUGCCAGCAGCCGCGGUAAUUC